Molecule: ribosomal RNA, 450 nt
Filed under: uncultured bacterium
Lineage: Bacteria
Description: partial 16S ribosomal RNA
Rfam family: Bacterial small subunit ribosomal RNA
Source: RNAcentral
GUGGGGAAUCUUCCGCAAUGGACGAAAGUCUGACGGAGCAACGCCGCGUGAGUGAAGAAGGUUUUCGGAUCGUAAAGCUCUUUCGUUAGGGACGAACGUGCUCUUUGUGAAUAAUGAGGAGUAAUGACGGUACCUAAAUAAGAAGCCACGGCUAACUACGUGCCAGCAGCCGCGGUAAUACGUAGGUGGCAAGCGUUGUCCGGAAUUAUUGGGCGUAAAGCGCGCGCAGGCGGGAUAUCAAGUCUGUCUUAAAAGUGCGAGGCUCAACCUCGUGAGGGGACAGAAACUGGUAUUCUUGAGUGUCGGAGAGGAAAGUGGAAUUCCAAGUGUAGCGGUGAAAUGCGUACAGAUUUGGAAGAACACCAGUGGCGAAGGCGACUUUCUGGACGAUGUCUGACGCUGAGGCGCGAAAGCUAGGGGAGCGAACGGGAUUAGAUACCCCUGUAGUCC